This is a long non-coding RNA of Pipra filicauda (Wire-tailed manakin), 1379 nucleotides long. RefSeq lists it as uncharacterized. The record is from RefSeq and is a predicted model, not a curated record. The transcript has 2 exons. NCBI's taxonomy places the organism in Eukaryota, Metazoa, Chordata, Aves, Passeriformes, Pipridae.
GGUGGGGCAGCUGGAGCUGUGACAUGGGGCUGAUGGUGCCACCCUGCAGACAAGCUGCUCCAGAACAUGGGGAAAGUCUGUGGAGCAUGUGAACAACCCACUGACCUCUGGGCUGCUGGGCCACCUGCUGUCCCAAGGGGUUCUGAGCCUCAGUGGGGUGGAAGAGGUGCAGGAUCAAUGCAGGAUGUGCGUGGAUAGGCUCAGCUCCUCAUUGACACCGUGCUCCAAGGGCCCAGCCACAGCUCCACUGACAGCCUCAGGAUGGCACCUUGGCUGAGCAGCUGGGCCUGGCUGCUGACUUGGGUGAGUGAUGAGGGGCCAUCGUCUGCUCCCAGACAUGCUGGGGCUCCCAGAACCUCCAGUGGGAUGCUGGAAUGGGUCCCAGCCCCGGGGAGUGUCCAACGCUGGAAAGCAAGGGGCAGUUGGGUGUCUCUGGUGUCACUGCUCUGAGCCCCCCUAUGCUGUGACAACAGGGCUUUUGGGGGUGGCUGUCCCUUGCAGGGCUGAACAGGGACCCCCCAGGGUCAUCAACAGGCUCCAUUUUCAUCUAGUGCCUGCCAGAGCAGUUUCAAACCACGCCUGUAACAGCCACUUAGAGGAGCUCUUCCUGAAGGUCCAACAAUGCUUUGCUAAAUUCCCUCAGCAGAUGCCACCAGAUGGACGUUCCAUCUCUUCCCAGGCCACUGACCUCCUGUCUCUUCACCUCACAACUCUGUGGCAGCCUUUUGUCCGUGCCCCAAACCUGAGACCUGGCCAGCAGGAAGGAGUGGGGAGAAAUUCCCCAUUGACCCUGGGCUCCAGAGCUCAUGGCUUGGUCCAAAGGUCUUGUGUGCUGAUAGCUGGGGCCAGGCCUCACCCCCCAGCUGGCUGGUGGCACCCAAGGGACUAGUUUCAGUAGCCAGUGGCUCAGGAACUUCUUGGUCUGAUGUUCUUCACUGGUGAAGAAAUAAUACACAGAGAGCAAAAGUGUUUGAAUUCGAGGUAACAUAGCAGGAAGCUCAAGGCCAGCACAGCCCUGCUCCUGAAAAAUGCACUUUGUCAGAAAAGGACAAGGGGAAGAGACAAGAACAGCUCUGCAGGAACACAGCGAAUCGCCCAACCAGCCCCUGGUGCCCCCUCUGCCAGCCAACUACAGCCAGGCCUGGAAUAAAACAUCCUUGGCCUGCCAUCCUCCCUCCCCUUUGGGGCCUCCCAACAACCUCAGAUUGAGCAAACUCAUCCUGGGGAGCACCAAGUGCAAAGCUGGUUAGUGUCUCUCUUCACUGUCCCUACACAGAGCCUACCCCAAGCUGUGACAGAGAUGAUGUGUCACCCCCACAGCCACUUCCACUCCAUCCCUGGCUUUACCCAUUGUCCAAUAAAGGGAUUUUUGCAGCAGA